This 231-nucleotide ribosomal RNA is filed under the name uncultured bacterium. RNAcentral's name for it is "partial 16S ribosomal RNA". It matches the Rfam family "Bacterial small subunit ribosomal RNA", at positions 524 to 775 of the family's 1533-position model. The record is from RNAcentral.
UACGGGGGGGCAAGCGUUGUUCGGAAUUACUGGGCGUAAAGGCUCGUAGGCGGCCAACUAAGUCGGAUGUGAAUCCCAGGCUUAACCUGGAACUGCAUCCGAUACUGGAUGGCUUGAGUGUGGAGAGGAAUGCGGAAUUCCAGGUGUAGCGGUGAAAUGCGUAGAUAUCGAGACAUCAGUGCGAAGCGGCUCCUGACAGACUGACGAUCAGCUCGAAGCGUGGAGCAACAG